AUGGAGCGGAUCACGCAGCACUACCUCGACAUCAUCUCCAGCGACAGCGGCUUCCUCUAUGCCGAGGCUACGGCGAUGUCGGCGCGGGUCUGCCUGUCGGCCAACAAGGCCCUCAUCAUGGCGUCCCGCGUGGUGGACAGCGCGCGACUCAACCUCGGCGCGCCCAGCGAGAUCUCCGCCGAGACCAUCCACGGGACCGUCCGCACGUACGAGGCCGUCUUCUCCGCCGCCGCUGACGACUCUUACAAGAAGUCGGUCAACAGGAACACGGUGGCCUCGUUCCUCGGCGCCCUGAGAGGUCUGGCCACAUCCUGCUCCAGGGCGCCCUCGAGUCCCUCUGCCACGGGCACCCGAGGGUCGCCGUGUCCGAGUACGCUUUCAACUCCGACGUGGAGGACAUGUAUACCGCGAGUUCGUGCAGGGGAUGCGCGACGUGGAGGAUGA
Molecule: ribosomal RNA, 444 nt
Filed under: Triticum aestivum (bread wheat)
Lineage: Eukaryota; Viridiplantae; Streptophyta; Magnoliopsida; Poales; Poaceae
Description: partial small subunit ribosomal RNA
Source: RNAcentral